Molecule: ribosomal RNA, 141 nt
Filed under: uncultured bacterium
Lineage: Bacteria
Description: partial 16S rRNA
Rfam family: Bacterial small subunit ribosomal RNA
Source: RNAcentral
UGGGGAAUUUUCCGCAAUAGGCGAAAGCCUGACGGAGCAAUGCCGCGUGGAGGUGGAAGGCCUACGGGUCGUCAACUUCUUUUCUCGGAGAAGAAACAAUGACGGUAUCUGAGGAAUAAGCAUCGGCUAACUCUGUGCCAG